GGGUGGCCGUGCGAAGCAGCUCCGUCGGGCGGUCCCGGGUCACUCAGCGGCCGAGGAGGCGCCCGCCCUUUCCCCCUGCAGGGCCACGGAGACUGAAGGUGGAAUCACAGCUGUCAACGCCGGAGCGUCCGCUGCCCACCAGCCGAACACAGGCGACCAAAGCCGAAUCCGAACUUGAAUUCUGUGCGACUGAUUGCAGAGCUGUCUCGACGCCCUAAGGUCCCGGAUCGGCGACCCCCGGUGGACAGCGAUCGACCGUACCCCAGAGGCGAGCUUUCUCACGGAGGCCACCGGUUGCAGAAGCUGGAAGUGAA
This is a long non-coding RNA of Mesoplodon densirostris (Blainville's beaked whale), 314 nucleotides long. RefSeq lists it as uncharacterized. The transcript has 3 exons. Lineage: Eukaryota; Metazoa; Chordata; Mammalia; Artiodactyla; Ziphiidae. The record is from RefSeq and is a predicted model, not a curated record.